RNAcentral lists this ribosomal RNA (253 nucleotides) under uncultured bacterium. Its description in RNAcentral is "partial 16S ribosomal RNA". It matches the Rfam family "Bacterial small subunit ribosomal RNA", at positions 524 to 776 of the family's 1533-position model. The record is from RNAcentral.
UACGGAGGGAGCUAGCGUUGUUCGGAAUUACUGGGCGUAAAGCGCGCGUAGGCGGCUUUGUAAGUUAGAGGUGAAAGCCCGGGGCUCAACCCCGGAACUGCCUUUAAGACUGCAUCGCUUGAAUCCAGGAGAGGUGAGUGGAAUUCCGAGUGUAGAGGUGAAAUUCGUAGAUAUUCGGAAGAACACCAGUGGCGAAGGCGGCUCACUGGACGACUGUUGACGCUGAGGUGCGAAAGCGUGGGGAGCAAACAGG